This 468-nucleotide ribosomal RNA is filed under the name uncultured bacterium. Its description in RNAcentral is "partial 16S ribosomal RNA". It matches the Rfam family "Bacterial small subunit ribosomal RNA", at positions 29 to 507 of the family's 1533-position model. The record is from RNAcentral.
AUGCACGCUGGCGGCGUGCUUAACACAUGCAAGUCGAACGGUGAAGCUCCAGCUUGCUGGAGUGGAUCAGUGGCGAACGGGUGAGUAACACGUGAGCAACCUGCCCCUGACUCUGGGAUAACAGCCGGAAACGGCUGCUAAUACCGGAUAUGCACCAUGAACGCAUGUUCUGUGGUGGGAAAGAUUUUUCGGUUGGGGAUGGGCUCGCGGCCUAUCAGCUUGUUGGUGAGGUAAUGGCUCACCAAGGCGUCGACGGGUAGCCGGCCUGAGAGGGUGACCGGCCACACUGGGACUGAGACACGGCCCAGACUCCUACGGGAGGCAGCAGUGGGGAAUAUUGCACAAUGGGCGAAAGCCUGAUGCAGCAACGCCGCGUGAGGGAUGACGGCCUUCGGGUUGUAAACCUCUUUUAGCAGGGAAGAAGCGAGAGUGACGGUACCUGCAGAAAAAGCGCCGGCUAACUACGUG